This 497-nucleotide ribosomal RNA is filed under the name uncultured bacterium. RNAcentral describes it as "partial 16S ribosomal RNA". It matches the Rfam family "Bacterial small subunit ribosomal RNA", at positions 28 to 507 of the family's 1533-position model. The record is from RNAcentral.
GAUGAACGCUGGCGGCGUGCCUAAUACAUGCAAGUCGAGCGAACAGACGAGGAGCUUGCUCCUCUGACGUUAGCGGCGGACGGGUGAGUAACACGUGGAUAACCUACCUAUAAGACUGGGAUAACUUCGGGAAACCGGAGCUAAUACCGGAUAAUAUAUUGAACCGCAUGGUUCAAUAGUGAAGGACGGUUUUGCUGUCACUUAUAGAUGGAUCCGCGCCGCAUUAGCUAGUUGGUAAGGUAACGGCUUACCAAGGCGACGAUGCGUAGCCGACCUGAGAGGGUGAUCGGCAACACUGGAACUGAGACACGGUCAAGACUCCUACGGGAGGCAGCAGUAGGGAAUCUUCCGCAAUGGGCGAAAGCCUGACGGAGCAACGCCGCGUGAGUGAUGAAGGUCUUCGGAUCGUAAAACUCUGUUAUUAGGGAAGAACAAAUGUGUAAGUAACUAUGCACGUCUUGACGGUACCUAAUCAGAAAGCCACGGCUAACUACGUG